RNAcentral lists this unclassified non-coding RNA (559 nucleotides) under Hevea brasiliensis (rubber tree). The record is from RNAcentral. Lineage: Eukaryota; Viridiplantae; Streptophyta; Magnoliopsida; Malpighiales; Euphorbiaceae.
AUCAGUUCCGACCUAGAGUGAAGACUUCCGGAGGAAAAGAAAAUGGCGAACAGAAACAAAUUAUCUCCUUCCCUUGUUGUCUGGGUUCUAGUUUUAUUCGGAACCCUAAUUUUCAUUCUGAACCGAUUAGGUGAUUCAGGAGUCUCCUCAGAUGGUAAAGACAUUAAAAUCGAGGCAAAAACAUCAGAGGAUUUGGAGCGGGUGACGCAUAAAGUAUACUUUGAUGUCGAAAUUAAUGGAAAACCUACUGGUCGUAUUGUCAUGGGCCUCUUUGGGAAAACUGUCCCAAAGACAGCAGAAAACUUCAGAGCUCUUUGCACAGGGGAAAAAGGAACAGGGAAAGCUGGCAAGCCUCUCCAUUACAAAGGUAGCAGUUUCCACAGGAUCAUACCAAGCUUCAUGAUCCAGGGAGGUGACUUCACCCGUGGUGAUGGGCGAGGUGGAGAGUCAAUAUAUGGUGAAAGCUUUCCAGAUGAAAACUUUGAUCUAAAACACACUGAACCUGGUAUCUUGUCAAUGGCAAAUGCUGGACCAGACACCAAUGGAUCUCAAUUCUUUA